UACGAAGGGGGCUAGCGUUGCUCGGAAUCACUGGGCAUAAAGCGCACGUAGGCGGCUUUCUAAGUCAGGGGUGAAAUCCUGGAGCUCAACUCCAGAACUGCCUUUGAUACUGGAAAGCUUGAGUCCGGGAGAGGUGAGUGGAACUGCGAGUGUAGAGGUGAAAUUCGUAGAUAUUCGCAAGAACACCAGUGGCGAAGGCGGCUCACUGGCCCGGUACUGACGCUGAGGUGCGAAAGCGUGGGGAGCAAACAGG
Molecule: ribosomal RNA, 253 nt
Filed under: uncultured bacterium
Lineage: Bacteria
Description: partial 16S ribosomal RNA
Rfam family: Bacterial small subunit ribosomal RNA
Source: RNAcentral